Molecule: ribosomal RNA, 466 nt
Filed under: uncultured bacterium
Lineage: Bacteria
Description: partial 16S ribosomal RNA
Rfam family: Bacterial small subunit ribosomal RNA
Source: RNAcentral
GAUGAACGCUGGCGGCGUGCUUAACACAUGCAAGUCGAACGGAAAGGCUCCUGCUUGCAGGGGUACUCGAGUGGCGAACGGGUGAGUAACACGUGGGUGAUCUGCCCUGCACUUCGGGAUAAGCCUGGGAAACUGGGUCUAAUACCGGAUAGGACGAUGGUUUGGAUGCCAUUGUGGAAAGUUUUUCGGUGUGGGAUGAGCUCUCGGCCUAUCAGCUUGUUGGUGGGGUAAUGGCCUACCAAGGCGUCGACGGGUAGCCGGCCUGAGAGGGUGUACGGCCACAUUGGGACUGAGAGACGGCCCAGACUCCUACGGGAGGCAGCAGGGGGGAAUAUUGCACAAUGGGCGCAAGCCUGAUGCAGCGACGCCGCGUGGGGGAUGACGGCCUUCGGGUUGAAAACUCCUUUCGCUAGGGACGAAGCGUUUUGUGACGGUACCUGGAGAAGAAGCACCGGCUAACUACGUG